Molecule: ribosomal RNA, 504 nt
Filed under: uncultured bacterium
Lineage: Bacteria
Description: partial 16S ribosomal RNA
Rfam family: Bacterial small subunit ribosomal RNA
Source: RNAcentral
GACGAACGCUGGCGGCGUGCUUAACACAUGCAAGUCGAACGGUGAAGCGCUUGCCUUUUUGGUGGGUGUGGAUGAGUGGCGAACGGGUGAGUAACACGUGAGUAACCUGCCCUCUUCUUCUGGAUAACCUCAUGAAAGUGGGGCUAAUACGGGGUAUUCCGGGUCUGUCGCAUGGCGGGUUUGGGAAAGAUUACGCCUUUGGGUGUUUUCGGUGGGGGAUGGGCUCGCGGCCUAUCAGCUUGUUGGUGGGGUGAUGGCCUACCAAGGCGGUGACGGGUAGCCGGCCUGAGAGGGUGGACGGCCACACUGGGACUGAGACACGGCCCAGACUCCGGCGGGAGGCAGCAGUGGGGAAUAUUGCGCAAUGGGCGCAAGCCUGAUGCAGCGACGCCGCGUGAGGGAUGGAGGCCUUCGGGUUGUGAACCUCUUUCGCCAGUGAAGCAGGCCUGCUCCUGUGUGGGUGGGUUGACGGUAGCUGGAUAAGAAGCGCCGGCUAACUACGUG